CAGAACGGCAGAAUAUAAAUCUGGGGACACAUUCCAUGAACAUAACUCAGUCAGCUAAAAUUUAAUAAUAUUCAAAACUAAAAUGACGUAGAGGGAACUAGUAUCAAAAGAUUUAUGAUUUUUGAACAUUGAUACAGUAUUAGUAUCAAACAGAGAUGAAUGGCGAAAAAGAAUCCAUAUAAUCAACCCUAACUAAAAUGAAAAGAAGGGAAUCAGUAUCAAAGGAUUUACGAUUUUUUUAUAUUGAUAUAAAAUUGGUCUCAAAUAGAGAUGAAUGGCAAAAAAAAUCCAUAUAAUUAACCCUAACUAGUUUGAAAUUAAGGCUUAGUUG
This 331-nucleotide unclassified non-coding RNA is filed under the name Hevea brasiliensis (rubber tree). The record is from RNAcentral. Lineage: Eukaryota; Viridiplantae; Streptophyta; Magnoliopsida; Malpighiales; Euphorbiaceae.